This 301-nucleotide ribosomal RNA is filed under the name uncultured bacterium. Its description in RNAcentral is "partial 16S ribosomal RNA". It matches the Rfam family "Bacterial small subunit ribosomal RNA", at positions 509 to 807 of the family's 1533-position model. The record is from RNAcentral.
CAGUAGCCGCGGGAAUACGGAGGGCGCGAGCGUUACCCGGAUUUACUGGGCGUAAAGGGCGUGUAGGCGGCCUGGGGCGUCCCAUGUGAAAGGCCACGGCUCAACCGUGGAGGAGCGUGGGAUACGCUCAGGCUAGAGGGUGGGAGAGGGUGGUGGGAUUCCCGGAGUAGCGGUGAAAUGCGCAGAUACCGGGAGGAACGCCGAUGGCGAAGGCAGCCACCUGGUCCACUUCUGACGCUGAGGCGCGAAAGCGUGGGGAGCAAACAGGAUUAGAUACCCGUGUAGUCCCUGUCUCUUAUAC